Molecule: transfer RNA, 77 nt
Filed under: Desulfovibrio sp.
Lineage: Bacteria; Pseudomonadati; Thermodesulfobacteriota; Desulfovibrionia; Desulfovibrionales; Desulfovibrionaceae
Also listed under: 5 other names
Description: tRNA-Arg
Rfam family: tRNA
About the family: Transfer RNA (tRNA) molecules are approximately 80 nucleotides in length.
Source: RNAcentral
GCGCUCGUAGCUCAGGUGGAUAGAGCAGGAGCCUUCUAAGCUCUUGGUCGGGGGUUCGAAUCCUCCCGGGCGCGCCA